This is an unclassified non-coding RNA of Papio anubis (olive baboon), 148 nucleotides long. It matches the Rfam family "Metazoan signal recognition particle RNA". Rfam says of the family: The signal recognition particle (SRP) is a universally conserved ribonucleoprotein. It is involved in the co-translational targeting of proteins to membranes. Lineage: Eukaryota; Metazoa; Chordata; Mammalia; Primates; Cercopithecidae. The record is from Ensembl.
GUCAGGUGUGGUGGCGCACACCUGUAAUCCCAGCUACUUGGGAGGCUGAGGCAGGAGAAUCACUUGAACUCAGGAGGUGGAGGUUGCAGUGAGCCGAGAUUGCGCCACUGCACUCCAGCCUGAGUGACAGAGUGAGACUCUGUCUCAA